Molecule: ribosomal RNA, 447 nt
Filed under: uncultured bacterium
Lineage: Bacteria
Description: bacterial SSU rRNA
Rfam family: Bacterial small subunit ribosomal RNA
Source: RNAcentral
UCGGGAAUUUUGUGCAAUGGGCGAAAGCCUGACACAGCAACGCCGCGUGAAGGAUGAAGUCCCUCGGGAUGUAAACUUCGUAAGAAUAGGAAGAAUAAAUGACGGUACUAUUUGUAAGGUCCGGCUAACUACGUGCCAGCAGCCGCGGUAAUACGUAGGGACCAAGCGUUGUUCGGAUUUACUGGGCGUAAAGGGUGCGUAGGCGGCAUAUCAAGUCACUUGUGAAAUCUCCGGGCUUAACUCGGAACUGCCAAGUGAUACUGAUGUGCUAGAGUGCAGAAGGGGCAAUCGGAAUUCUUGGUGUAGCGGUGAAAUGCGUAGAUAUCAAGAGGAACACCUGAGGUGAAGACGGGUUGCUGGGCUGACACUGACGCUGAGGCGCGAAAGCCAGGGGAGCAAACGGGAUUAGAUACCCCCGUAGUCCCUGAGCGGGCUGGCAAGGCGCAU